Long non-coding RNA from Oreochromis niloticus (Nile tilapia), 353 nucleotides. RefSeq lists it as uncharacterized. Lineage: Eukaryota; Metazoa; Chordata; Actinopteri; Cichliformes; Cichlidae. The transcript has 3 exons. The record is from RefSeq and is a predicted model, not a curated record.
CAAGUGUGACAUCAGCGGUCAUGGAGAGUCUCCAUCCAGCUGGAUCACUGUCACAGGGGAACACACCACCACACCUACAUUCACAACUCCACCUACAUCCACACCUCCCCCUAUAUACACACUUCCACCUACAUCUGGACUUUCACUUACAUCGUCCUCUGCAUCAUUCGUUCCUGGUCUUCUUCCUGUCUUGCUGACUGUUGCAUCAGUCUGUGCUGCAAUGCUGAGAUGACACGGUUACAGUAAACUCAAAGAUAAACAAGAAGGAGCUGGAUGAGACAACAUCACCAGUGCCAUCAUGCAUUUUCACCGUCUAUGAGGACAUUUUUAUCAAUAACAUUAUUAUUACUGUU